Molecule: ribosomal RNA, 292 nt
Filed under: uncultured bacterium
Lineage: Bacteria
Description: partial 16S ribosomal RNA
Rfam family: Bacterial small subunit ribosomal RNA
Source: RNAcentral
GUGCCAGCAGCCGCGGUAAUACGUAGGGUGCGAGCGUUAAUCGGAAUUACUGGGCGUAAAGCGUGCGCAGGCGGUUUUGUAAGCCAGAUGUGAAAUCCCCGAGCUUAACUUGGGAACUGCAUUUGGGACUGCAAGGCUAGAGUACGGCAGAGGGGGGUAGAAUUCCUGGUGUAGCAGUGAAAUGCGUAGAUAUCAGGAGGAAUACCGAUGGCGAAGGCAGCCCCCUGGGUCGAUACUGACGCUCAUGCACGAAAGCGUGGGGAGCAAACAGGAUUAGAUACCCCAGUAGUCC